UUACCUUCGGGUAAUGAGGAUGGCGGACGGGUGAGUAACGCGUAAGGAACUUGCCUCUUGGACUGGGACAACUGUUGGAAACGACAGCUAAUACCGGAUAUUAUGAGAUUCUCGCAUGAGAAACUUAUGAAAGCUAUAUGCGCCAAGAGAGAGCCUUGCGUUCCAUUAGCUAGUUGGUGGGGUAACGGCCCACCAAGGCGACGAUGGAUAGCCGGCCUGAGAGGGUGAACGGCCACAAGGGGACUGAGACACGGCCCUUACUCCUACGGGAGGCAGCAGUGGGGAAUAUUGGACAAUGGGCCACAAGCCUGAUCCAGCAAUUCUGUGUGCACGAUGAAGGUCUUCGGAUUGUAAAGUGCUUUCAGUUGGGAAGAAGAAAGUGACGGUACCAACAGAAGAAGCGACGGCUAAAUACGUGCCAGCAGCCGCGGUAAUACGUAUGUCGCAAGCGUUAUCCGGAUUUAUUGGGCGUAAAGCGCGUCUAGGCGGAAAAAUAAGUCUGAUGUUAAAAUGCGGGGCUCAACUCCGUAUUGCGUUGGAAACUGUUUUUCUAGAGUACUGGAGAGGUGGGCGGAACUACAAGUGUAGAGGUGAAAUUCGUAGAUAUUUGUAGGAAUGCCGAUGGAGAAGUCAGCUCACUGGACAGAUACUGACGCUGAAGCGCGAAAGCGUGGGGAGCAAA
This 682-nucleotide ribosomal RNA is filed under the name uncultured bacterium. Its description in RNAcentral is "bacterial SSU rRNA". It matches the Rfam family "Bacterial small subunit ribosomal RNA", at positions 74 to 772 of the family's 1533-position model. The record is from RNAcentral.